This 495-nucleotide ribosomal RNA is filed under the name uncultured bacterium. RNAcentral describes it as "bacterial SSU rRNA". It matches the Rfam family "Bacterial small subunit ribosomal RNA", at positions 28 to 478 of the family's 1533-position model. The record is from RNAcentral.
GAUGAACGCUGGCGGCGUGCCUAAUACAUGCAAGUCGAACGCAUUGUGGUUGAAAUGAUAUGAAGAACUUGUUCAGAUUUGAUUUUCAACAUUGCAAUGAGUGGCGAACGGGUGAGUAACACGUGGGAAACCUACCUCUUAGCAGGGGAUAACAUUUGGAAACAAAUGCUAAUACCGUAUAAUAUUAAAACCGCAUGGUUUUAGUUUAAAAGAUGGUCUUGCUAUCACUAAGAGAUGGUCCCGCGGUGUAUUAGUUAGUUGGUGAGGUAAUGGCUCACCAAGACAAUGAUACAUAGCCGAGUUGAGAGACUGACCGGCCACAAUGGGACUGAGACACGGCCCAUACUCCUACGGGAGGCAGCAGUAGGGAAUCUUCCACAAUGGACGAAAGUCUGAUGGAGCAACGCCGCGUGUGUGAUGAAGGGUUUCGGCUCGUAAAACACUGUUGUAAGAGAAGAAUGACAUUGAGAGUAACUGUUCAAUGUGUGACGGUAU